RNAcentral lists this long non-coding RNA (266 nucleotides) under Lathyrus oleraceus (garden pea). RNAcentral's name for it is "Pisum sativum (pea) long non-coding RNA (PSAT_LNC029735)". Lineage: Eukaryota; Viridiplantae; Streptophyta; Magnoliopsida; Fabales; Fabaceae. The record is from RNAcentral.
CAUGAGUAUAAUUGAAGGGGCUAUUUGUUUUCUCUACUUGUACUCGAAGUUAUCAGAGGGGUGUAUAUGGAAGACGAAGUGGGUCACAUGAAACAUCACAUUAUUGACGAUAAUAUUUAUUGGUCUUUUAAUCUUUCGAUGUCAUUUUUAUUUCAUCUUUGUAACGCCAUUACCGAUGAUUCGUGUGUUCCAAACUUUCCAGGUUUGAAUCCUUCAACACUUCUCACGCAUCUCCGGCUGGGUGACUGUACAGACUUACACUGAAG